Molecule: ribosomal RNA, 460 nt
Filed under: uncultured bacterium
Lineage: Bacteria
Description: partial 16S ribosomal RNA
Rfam family: Bacterial small subunit ribosomal RNA
Source: RNAcentral
CCUACGGGCGGCAGCAGUGAGGAAUAUUGGUCAAUGGGCGAGAGCCUGAACCAGCCAAGUCGCGUGAAGGAUGACGGCCCUACGGGUUGUAAACUUCUUUUGUCAGGGAGCAAUUGGGUCCACGCGUGGGCUUAGCGAGAGUACCUGAAGAAAAAGCAUCGGCUAACUCCGUGCCAGCAGCCGCGGUAAUACGGAGGCGGCGAGCGUUAUCCGGAUUUAUUGGGUUUAAAGGGUGCGUAGGCGGAAUAUCAAGUCAGCGGUAAAAAUUCGGGGCUCAACCCCGUCGUGCCGUUGAAACUGAUGGUCUUGAGUGGGCGAGAAGUAUGCGGAAUGCGUGGUGUAGCGGUGAAAUGCAUAGAUAUCACGCAGAACUCCGAUUGCGAAGGCAGCAUACCGGCGCCCAACUGACGCUGAAGCACGAAAGCGUGGGUAUCGAACAGGAUUAGAUACCCGGGUAGUC